ACACAUUUUCAAGACCUAGACACAACCUAAAAAAAACCUAACACAUCUAAGGGAGCCGUUUCUCAUGAUCUGGAACCAAAAAAAACCCUAAGACCAUCAUCUUCCUCAACCUAACACACCUAGGCCCCUAACCUAGAGGAUCCCUGAGAAAUCAGCCGCAUACGCUCCUUCUUGAACCAGCGAAGAACAGAGCUCCAUCAGCCAUCUCCACCUUUCUUCUUCAACCUUCAGACACCCUAACGCCACUUCCCCUCCGGCCAAACCCAAACAGCCGAAACCCAACCCUUUCCUACAAAAUCUUUGGCAGUCGACCACCCUAGAACGACCAUCUCCACCAAACCAUCAGCCGUUGCCAAUUUCCAAACAUUCAAAAUAGCUGAAACAUAACAAAGAGGGGGGGAUAGAAGAUAGAUUUAGAAAGAAAACAAAAAAUACAGAGCGAGAAAAGGGUUUACAAAUAGAGAACAAAGAGAUGCGAGUUUCAAUCCAUCUCUGUUUUUUGUUAAACCACAAAAAACUUCAGCCUUCUUCAACCAUGAAAGCUGUAAAACCAGCUCUAAGAACGUGAAAACAGUAGCUCAAACCACUGCUCGUCGCCGUGAAAAUAGCGGCGUGUGUGUGCGAUUUUCUGAUUCUCGCCGGAAUUUUAGAUCGACUAUUUUUUAAACUUCCCGGCGAAUUUCGAGAUUGUCCGGGUGAGGUAGUCCAAGGUUUAAAAGCAGAAAAAUCGCUUGCGCCCUUCUUCAAUAACUUGGUAAUUGCUUUCUUAAUUGCUUUAACACCCAUCUUACCGGAGGACGGGGACAAAUAAGCCUCUGAAUUCGCCGGAGUUGGAAAGCGCGAGGGUUAUGAUCUUGAUAUAGCUGAAGUUUGGUAAGUUUUGUUUUGACUUAAUAUAAAGGUUUUCAUAUUUACUUGAUAUAGUUUCACUUAAUUUAAGUAAAGAUUUUCCUGAAUUCAGUAUUUUGGCCUUAGUCUUCGAAGCUAUAUGAUCUUGGAUACUAUAAUUAAGGAAAAUGAAUUAUGCUGGUAAUUAUGUUAAGAGUUGUUAUCUUCAGCAUCUUAAUAUUCAUUCAUUUGAUUAUGUAAUCUUGUUUGAAUUGAACUUCUGUGCAUAUAUUGAUUCCAGUGGUUUCGCAAAUGCUUGAGUCUCUUUUCUAGUGAUUGAAUUUAAAUGCAGUCUUUUACUUUUUGUCCCGCAUAUAUUCAUUGCAAUAGUAGUCUUGGAAAGAAAAUGUGUAGGCAAAGUUGUUUGUUUGAAUUAAUAAAAAUAAAGAAUAUCUUUUCAAUAUUAGUUCCGAUUGUAAAGUAGCCAGUUUAACACUGUUCGCUAAUGAUGUGGGAAUUAGAUUUGAGCAAUUUACAAAAAUGAAGACGUGAAUGGAAUUUGGUGCCGAUUGUUUUUUCAAUUAAAUCUUAUGGAUUUAGUGCUCUGUUAAGUUGACCCAUUUUUCUAUAUUUCAUAUCCCUAAUUCAUAACCUCACAAUAAAUCUCAAAUUAGUUUUAAGAAUAACCAUGAAUUUCGUAGUUUGCUUUAGGCGCGUUAUAAUAAAUCAUCAUAACUACGAGUACGGUUUCCGUGACGUAGUUGUGAUAUGUAAUUCUCAAAUCCGGGUGCACAUUUUAUGUGACCCGACCACAACUUCGAACCAUUAAUAAAUUAAAUAUGUUAUAUAUCAUGGGUACGGUUCCCGUGACACAAUUCACAAUGUGUACAAAACAUACAAGUGUACGACAAUCGUAACUUGUUCCAGAAUAAUUUCAUAAAUAAAUAAAUAAAAGCGGUUAAAAGGUUAAAAAUGCACAAUAGGUAUAAAAAAUGUAAUAAAUCAGAUAAAGAGACCAAUUAUUAAUAGUUGAGCAACCAUGCUAAAAUCACGGAACUCGGGAAUGCCUAACACCUUCUCCCGGGUUAACAAAAUUCCUUACCCGAAUUUCUAUAUUUUGCGGACCAUAAAUAGAGUCAAUCUUCCUCGAUUUGAGAUUUUAAACCGGUGAUUUGGGACACUAUAAAUUAUCCCAAGUGGCGACUCUGAUUUUGAAUAAAUAAUUCCGUUUCGGUUUUGUCACUUUAAUUGGAAAAACUCCCUUAUAUACCCCUUUCGGGUAGAAAAAGGAGGUGUGACAGCUCUGGCAACUCUGCUGGGGACAAGAACCCAGAAUCUCUGGUUCAGGGUUCAAGAAUUCGAGCUUAGAAUAAUUGUUAUAUUUGGCUUUUAUUUAUUAUCUGAUUUUUACUACAUGCUUGGGCCUAAUUAAUGGUGUCUAACAAGCCAGGUUUAACCGUAACUGGACCGGCCUAGACUGGUUAAAAUCAGAACCGGCCCGGACCGGUACAAGGGAGCCGGGUGGGGUUGGGUUAGAGGGGUAGGGGGUUUAAUCCGUUCACCUAUUUUUAACCGGUUACUCGGACCGGUCAAACCCGAUCAUCAGAAAUACUAUAGAACCAGUUAAACUGGCCUGGCCCAGACCAGACCAGCCCGACCCAGACCGGUUAACGACUAAUUUCUUUUUUUUAAAAUUGUUGAUUGGCUUAUUUGGUUACCAUUGGCAACAGUCACCUACCAAGGAGUCGUUGCCCAACGGCUGAUUUGCACAAUUAGCCCUUUUUUGGGAUUUAUUUUCAAAAAAUUAACACUUUUUGUAAUUACAAAUUUAACCCUUUUGUAAAACUAUAAAUACACCCCCUCUCUUCUUAUUUCUUCACUCACUCUCAUUUCUCAAUCUCAAUUUCUCAAUUCAAGUUAAAUCAUGCUCCGUACUUCUAGAGUGCGCUCAUAUGUUUGGGAACACUUUGAGGUGGUAGAAAAAAAUGAAGUUCACAAAGUAAAGUGCAAGAAUUGUGGUCGAGUCUUAAAUCUUCGUCCAAAGUGUGGCACAGGCUGUUUAGGGAGGCAUAUGAAGAGUUGUCUUGAGCGUCCUCUAAAAAUUCGUAUUUAAGUUGAUUUGAGACAAUUUGUGUUAUUUUAAAAUUAUUAUACGUAUUUAUGCUUAAUGUUUUAGUUUGUUAGAUUAAUUUGAAGUAUUGUUAUGCAUGAAAAUUUAGUUUUACUUUUUUUUCCGUUAAUUUACUUGUUAAAUGCAAACAUCCAUUUGUAAUUUUGAAAUAAAUGUAGCACUUGCAAUUUAUAAGUGCAAUUUUUCCCAUCUUCAUUUUAUUCUUUAUAUUAAUAUAACUUACAAUAGUUAUACAAAAUACAAAAAAUGUAACGACCCGACCGGUCGUUUUGAGCUUUAGCACUUCGCUCGCUAGUUCUCGGGCAUGACUAGCACCGUGCGGUGUAUUAUGACUUAUAUAAAUCGUCGAUUUUGGUUUUCAGGGUAAUCAGAAUGAAUUUGGAAGAACAGUUCUCAGUCUGAAGCUUAAAAUUUGAAAGGUUGACCAAGUUUUGACUUGUUAGUAUAUGAUCUCGGAUUGGAAUUUUUAUGAUUUUGUUAGCUCCGUUAGGUGAUUUAGGACUUAGGAGCAUGAUCGGAAUGUAUUUUGGAGGUCCGUGGAAGGUUAAGGGUUGAAUUGGCGAAAUGGGCUUUUUGGCAUUUUUCAGUUGAUAGGUGAGAUUUUAAUAUAGGGGUCGGAAUGGAAUUCCGGAAGUUGGAGUAGGUCCGUUGUGUUAUUUGUGACGCAUGGGCAAAAUUUCAGGUCAUUCGGACGAGGUUUGAUAGACCUUUUGAUCGAAUUCAGAAUUCAGAAGUUUUUGGAAUUCUUAUGCUUGAAUCCGAUGUGAUCUUAGUGUUUUGAUGUUGGUUUGAGCGUCCCGAAGGUUGGAUCAAGUUUGAAUGAUGAUAUGAGAUAUGUUGGCAUAUUUGGUUGAGGUCCCGAGAGCCUCGGGUGAGUUUCAGGUGGUUAAACGGAUCAAAUUCUUGUUUUGAAAGUUGCAGAUUUCUUCAGAUCAGUGUUGCAGAGUUUUGCUCUUCGUGUUCGCGAGAGGGCCCUCGCGUUCGCGAAGAGAUGUUGAGUGAGUCAGGCCAGUUACCCUUCGCGUUCGCGAUGUUGGUCCCGCAUUCGUGAAGGUUGAGUCUAAUUGUGCAUCGCGAACGCGUGGCAUGGUUCGCGUUCACGUAGAAGGGUGAAGCAGACUUGGGCACCUGGCCCUAAAGCAUCGCAUUUGCGACUGAAGAAACGUGUUCGUGUAGGCUGAGCUGAGUAAGGCAUCGCGUUCGCGAGGGUAGUGUUCGCGUUCGUGUAAGAGGAAAUUUGAGCUCUGAAUUAUUUUUUCUUCGCGAACGCGAGGCUUUUACAGCGUUCGCGAAGAAGGAAUUUUUGGCUUCAGCAGAAUGUUUAAAUAGCCAUGUUCGCGAUUUUUGGUCUAUCUUUCACCAUUUUUGAGCGAUUUUGGAGCUUUUUGAGUAGGAUUGAAGAGGGAAUCAAAGGGAAACACUUGGAGGUAAGAUUUUUGAACUCAAUACUCUAUCCUAUGUUGAUUCUUACUUGUUUAAACAUGAAAUUUGUGGAAAUUAAAGCCUAAAAUUAGGAAAGGGCUUGAAAUUGGAAAAGUAUAAAUUGGGGAUUUGAGGGGCCAUUUGAUGUUCGAUUUUGAUGUUCUUGGUAUGUAUGGACUCGUGAGAGGAUAUGGAUUUUAUUGAUUUAAUUUUUAUUGGAUUCCGAGACGUGGUCUCGUGGGUCGAGUUUGGCCAAUUUCAGGAUUUUUGCUAUAAAUUGGUUAUUUUCGAGUGGGCUUUAUUUCCUUAGCAUAUUUUGAUGGUAUGAAUCUGCUUUUGGCUAGAUUUGGAAAAUUCGGAGGCCGAGUUGAGAGGCAAAGGCAUCACGGGCUAGAGUUUGGACCAGAUCGAGGUAAGUAAUGAUUGUAAAUAUUUGUCCUGAGGGUAUGAAACCCCGAAUUUUCACAUCUUUGUGCUAUAUUGAGGUGACGCACACGCUAGAUGACAAGCGUGGGGGCGUGCACCGUUGGGGAUUGUGACUUAGUCCGUCCCGUAUGACUGUUUAACCGCAUAUUUGAUUGAAAACUGUUUGCUAUCAUCAUUUUUUGGGCUGAAUGCCAUAUUUGGGCCUCGUGCCAACUGUUUUGGACCCUUAGGGGAUUUUUACUACUAUUCCUCACUGUUUUGACUUCAUAUUUGCUCUCAGUCAUGCUGUAUUCUACUGUUUACAUAACUCAGCCAUAUUUACUCUGUUUUGACAUUUGAAAUAAUAUUUUGGGCUGAGCAUCAUGUUUUAUUAUGCCCAAGUGGCUUUGAGAGAUUUCUGACUAAGUGAGGUCGAGGGCCUAUGUUGUGAGGAUAUUAUGGGAUCGGGAUGCGCGCCACAUCAGUGUGGUACUGAUUUAAGAUUAUGAGGCCGAAGGCCUGAUUUGUUACGCCACGAGGUGGCUUGAUAUGAGGCUGAGAGCCUGUUUGAUUAUGCCAUGAGAUGGCUUGUUAUUGCGCUUGGGCCGUAAGGGGCCCUCCCAGAGUCUGUACACCCCUAGUGAGCGCGGGUACCCUGAGUGAGUGAUAUAUUGAUUAUGCCAUGAGAUGGCUUGUUAUUGCGCUUGAGUCCUACGGGGCCCCUCCUGGAGUCUGUACACCCCCAGUGAGCGCGGGUACAUAGUGUGAGAUGUGGUAUAGCCCGAGGGGCUGAUGUUGUUCUAUUUUAUUGCCUGAGGGGAGGUUCUUGAUUUAUGUUAUGCCCGAGGGGCUGAUUACGAGUGAUUGUGAGGUAGCCCGAGGGGCUGGUUCUGUUAAUAUUAUGCCCGAGGGGCGGUUUAUGGUACAUGUUUUGCCCGAGGGGCUGUUUACAUUUCUAUCAUGUUUACUCACUAUUUUUUCACUCGUUUGAAACUAUUGAAAAUUUGUUUUAAAAGGUUUUACCAAAACUGAGCAUGAUUUAUGAAGUAAAUGAUUUCUGUACUGUGUUGGAAAUAUCCUGCAUUUGUUGUAGCGUUUGACGUGGCUUACGUAUUUUCUUACUGCUCAACUUUCAUUUACCUUUAUUACUUAUUUAGUUGGAGUACUCACAUUACUCCCUGCACCUUGUGAGCAGAUUCAGGUAUUUCAGAACCCGGUAGCAGGUGUUGAUUGUUCAGUGGUAGAGUCAUCGGAGUUAGAAAGGUAGCUGCCCGACGUCCGCAUCACUGCUUUUCUCCCUCUUGUUUUCAUUAGACUGUAUUUAGUACAUUUUCAGAAUUUUUUGUUGUAUUCAGACCUUAGUUGAUGCUCGUGACUUGUGAGACCGCGAUGUUGGGCUUAUGUAUUUAUUCCGCACUAAUCAUUUAGACUUACAUUAUGAGAUAUCUGAUUAAUUAAAGGCUUAAAAAUGAUUAUUAUUAAUUAAAUAGUUAAUUCGGGAGUUGUGUCGGCUGGCCUAGUUUCACGAUAGGUGCCAUCACGACCGGGUUACUUUUAGGGUCAUGACAAGUUGGCAUCAAAGCCUAGGUUUUAUAGGUCUCACGAGUCAUGAGCAGGUUUAGUAGAGUCUCGCGGAUCGGUACGGAGACGUCUGUACUUAUCCUCGGGAGGCUGCAAAACCUUUAGGAAAAACUUCACAUUCUUGAAUUCUUAUCGUGCAUCCUUGAUUCAGCUUGAAAUGUAACUCUUUGAAUUCCUUCCAUGCGUUCGUACACGCGCAUGAGCGCUCGAUAUCAGUUGUGCAUCAACGGCUUGUGAUUUCCUGAUCGAGGGGUGAGAUAUGAUUUAUGUGUCUUGAUGUUGGGCCAGUAUGGAGGACUUGAGGCCGAGUUUUGCCUGUAGCUUGAGCACUGAGGCGUUGAUUAUGUGAGUACGUGCUUUUGGAUUCAUGUUUUCGGUAGUAUCCCUAUUAGUGGAAGUGAUGGCUGGAUGGCUAUGUGAUGAGUAUGAUGUGACUGCUAGAUGUGUUCAUACGAUUUGAAUGAGAUGAGAAUGGCGUGCUUGGUGAUGAGUGGUGAUGUUACCACUCAUUCUAGUCUCUUUUCUUUAGCUUUUAUGUCCUUUAACUAUAAUAUGAGGUCGUUUAUGGUGUGUAUUGCUAGAUUUUCAGGUAAAUGAUGCCAUGAAAUGAUUUGAAUUCAAUUGGAGUGGAAUUGAACAAAAGGGGUGAAAACCAUGCAAAACUCCCAUGUGAUUCCGCAUCUGCGGAAGGUUGGUCUCAUAACCCUGCUUCUGCAUGAAAAGUCCCGCUUCUGCAAAGUUGUCUGACCUUGCAAGAAACUGCAUCUGCGGUUAGAUUACUGCUUAUGCUGUUGCGCAUCUGCGCCGGGUAAACCACAUCUGUGGUGAUAGAGUUUAGUUGACAUUUCGCUUCUGCGAUGGGAUCUCCGCAUCUGGGGAGCCGCACCUGCGAGGAUUCUUCCGCAGGUGCGGUCAACAGACCUGGGCAAUUCAGGCAUUUCAUAUGUUCUCAACUUCAAACUAUUUUUAUACACGACCUAGCAGAUAUUUUGAGGAUCUUUGACUUAUUUUCAGUUCUUAGAACUAGAGAGAACAGGUGGAAGCUAGGGUUUUGC
This 7422-nucleotide long non-coding RNA is filed under the name Nicotiana tabacum (common tobacco). Its description in RNAcentral is "long non-coding RNA (NTAB_LNC010671)". Lineage: Eukaryota; Viridiplantae; Streptophyta; Magnoliopsida; Solanales; Solanaceae. The record is from RNAcentral.